AUACGGAGGAUGCGAGCGUUAUCCGGAUUUACUGGGUGUAAAGGGUGCGUAGGCGGCUUGGUAAGUCAGAUGUGAAAUCUAUGGGCUCAACCCAUACACUGCAUUUGAAACUAUCGAGCUUGAGUGAAGUAGAGGCAGGCGGGAUUUCCUGUGUUGCGGUGAAAUGCGUAGAGAUAGGGAGGAACACCAGGGGCGAAGGCGGCCUGCUGGGCUUUAACUGACGCUGAGGCACGAAAGCGUGGGUAGCAAACAGGAUUAGAUACCCUGGUAGUCCACGCCGUAAACGAUGAUUACUAGGUGUGGGGGGACUGACCCCUUCCGUGCCGGAGCUAACACAAUAAGUAAUCCACCUGGGGAGUACGGCCGCAAGGUUGAAACUCAAAGGAAUUGACGGGG
This 396-nucleotide ribosomal RNA is filed under the name uncultured bacterium. RNAcentral's name for it is "partial 16S ribosomal RNA". It matches the Rfam family "Bacterial small subunit ribosomal RNA", at positions 523 to 918 of the family's 1533-position model. The record is from RNAcentral.